CUGAGCUCUCAGGAGAAUGAAAUCAUGUGAUUAUCCCCAGAAGAGGUACAGAACAAGCAGUGGCAGUGCAAGCUUCUCCACAUGACCCCCACCAGUGUCCUCAGCCCUGACCUGAGGAACUGCUUUAAAGGGUUAGAGGGCAGUUUACUCUCAUUGCCUUCUCUUUUUGGCUUUC
Molecule: small RNA, 175 nt
Filed under: Chrysemys picta bellii (western painted turtle)
Lineage: Eukaryota; Metazoa; Chordata; Testudines; Emydidae
Description: TUC338 (ENSCPBG00000020503.1)
Source: RNAcentral